This 484-nucleotide ribosomal RNA is filed under the name uncultured bacterium. RNAcentral's name for it is "partial 16S ribosomal RNA". It matches the Rfam family "Bacterial small subunit ribosomal RNA", at positions 30 to 507 of the family's 1533-position model. The record is from RNAcentral.
AUUGAACGCUGGCGGAAUGCUUUACACAUGCAAGUCGAACGGCAGCACGGGGGCAACCCUGGUGGCGAGUGGCGAACGGGUGAGUAAUACAUCGGAACGUGCCCGGUCGUGGGGGAUAACGUAGCGAAAGUUACGCUAAUACCGCAUACGAUCUGAGGAUGAAAGCGGGGGACCUUCGGGCCUCGCGCGAUCGGAGCGGCCGAUGUCAGAUUAGGUAGUUGGUGGGGUAAAGGCCUACCAAGCCGACGAUCUGUAGCUGGUCUGAGAGGACGACCAGCCACACUGGGACUGAGACACGGCCCAGACUCCCACGGGAGGCAGCAGUGGGGAAUUUUGGACAAUGGGCGCAAGCCUGAUCCAGCCAUUCCGCGUGCAGGACGAAGGCCUUCGGGUUGUAAACUGCUUUUGUAUGGAACGAAAAGGCUCUGGCUAAUACCUGGGGCUCAUGACGGUACCGUAAGAAUAAGCACCGGCUAACUACGUG